This is a long non-coding RNA of Mesocricetus auratus (golden hamster), 2770 nucleotides long. RefSeq lists it as uncharacterized. The transcript is spliced from 4 exons. NCBI's taxonomy places the organism in Eukaryota, Metazoa, Chordata, Mammalia, Rodentia, Cricetidae. The record is from RefSeq and is a predicted model, not a curated record.
CUUUACCAGACAGCAGCCCUGAGUCUGGACACAGACAUGCUUGCUCAACCCCGUGGAGUUUAAAGAGCCAAAUGGGAACAAUGACCGAGAAAACAGGGUGGCGGUGGAGUGAACCCAGGCCAAGGCACCAGUGCCUCCUGCUCUCAGGCAGAGCUGGAAAAGUAGCAAUUUGCUCUGGCAAGGCCAGGGGACGGAAUGUUAACACAGACAGCUGCCUGCUCCGUCCGUAACCGUCUGGCCCGGAAGGCGCCGUGACAGCGAGGACCUAUCGCCACGAAGUGCACACCCUCAAGGACCAGCGCCCAAACAGAAAUCGAGAGAUUCUCGGACAGGAGGAGGCGCCACACUAGAUGACGCCCUAGGUCAGGGAUGCGCAGAGCCCUCGAGCAGUGCUGGUAUCCUCGGAUGCAAGAAUCCUCCAAGCCGCACCGCACCGCCUUCAUUCAGAGUUCCUGGGAGCCUCGGGGCCCCGUCAUCUCUAAUCUGACAGGCUGCUCGUCCCCACUGCCCUGGCUGAGGGUUCUAGAUGGAACAUGUACCUCCUCUGAUAAACUCCCACGGUAAAAGGAACUCGGGAGUGAAGGCUUGGGGGCGGGGCAGUGACAAGUUCAACCCAGAGUGUCUCUGGGAUGGGAAUGGUAGAGUGUUUGCCUAACGUGAAGUCACAGGCUCCAUCCCCAGCAUCCCAGAAACAGUAGCUGACACACACCUGAGAUCCCAGUGCCGUGGAGGAGGUGGAGGCAGAGGCGGAGGCGGAAGGAUCGAUGUUAAAGAUCAUCCUCAGCUACAUACAGAGUGUGAGUCUAGCCUGGAGUCCACCAGAAGGUUUUAUUUACUUAUUAUGUCUACAGCAUUGUCUGCAUGUACGCCUGCAGGCCAGAGGAGGGCGCCAGAUCUCAUUAUAGAUGGUUGUGAGCCACCGUGUGGUUGCUGGGAAUUGGACUCAGGACCUGUGGAAGAGCAGCCAGUGCUCUUAACCUCUGAGCCAUCUCUCCAGCCCCAGAACCUGUCUCAAAUAACAAAGAGGGUUAAAGAGAAAGGUCUGUCUGUCUGUCUCUCUCUCUCUCUCACACACACACACACAGAGCGAGCAAGAGAGAGCGCUUUGUGAAGGGAGGGAGGCUUGGGAGUGUGCCCCCCCCAGAUUACAUAAUAAAAGUCCGCUGCAGGAGGAACUCUCCAGUAGUGUAGCUCCCAGGAACUUUUGAGAAACUGGGAGGGGCUUUUCCACUGCCUAAGUGUCCCCAUCCCCCUGUGAGCUACCCUCACCCAUGUUUCUGCAAGUGACUCUAGUAAACUCAUUGCCCACCAGGCCGGGCUUAGAAGGGAUGGCUUUGCUGGUCUAACUGCUGUGUCUGGGGUGAAAAGGCGCUUAGUGUGUCUCCCAGGAAAAGUCACACAUGCUGUGUCACCAGAGAAGCAGCUGAAAGACAAACCUUGGAACCACCGGAACCCCUCAUGGGUGCCUUCCUGGCUCCUUCACCUCACCCCAACAGGACAUGAAGACAGCAGAGCUCUCUCUGGAAGUCUUGCCAGUCUGGUAUAUUGUGUUUCCCCUUUUCCUUUCUUAAAAAAUGUGUUUUGCUUCUUAUUUAUUUGGGGGGAGAAGCAUGUGAUGUCACAGCUCACACAUGGUGGUCAGAGGACAACUUACGAGGGCCAGCGCUUCUCUCCCACCGUGUGGGUCCUGGGGAUUGAACUCAGGUCUCAGGGUCGGCAGCGAGCACCUUUAAGCACUGAGCUAUCUUACCAGCCCUUCCCCCGUUCUCAUUGGCUUCCAUUAGCACUGACAUCGCUGCUUCUAAACAGUUAGGGCUUUUUUUUUCUUAAGUUAAAAGACAUUAAGCAGUAAAAUCUGACACGUUAGAAAAAUUCCAUUCCUGAGAUACUAAUUGUUGAGUCUCCAAGAAUCGUAGGUAGGUCAAGAUGUAGCCUCAAUCCAAACACAACACAAACGCUAUCAGAGCCAAAGCCACUGGCUACCACUGGGGGAGAGGAAGUGGGUGGAAAUUUCCAGGGAUUCCCUUGGUGAAUCCUGCAGCGGCAUUGCCUGGAGGAGACUGACCCCAAGAAUAGCAGGUGCAGCUGGCCCCAGGCUGGAAGGCACUGUGCACCUGUUCCUCACCCCAGGCCGGGAGGGGCUCUGCCGGACACUGUCCUCUCUCUCUUGUCUACUUUCUGGAUCACCAGAAAUGGGCGGCACAUUCCCAAUCUUCCCUCCCACCUUGUUCAAGCAAAUUGCUGACCACCUUCACUGCCCCCCUUCCCUGAUGAUGGCCAAGGACGCUUUGGGCUCCUUUUCUGUGACUGUCACCCUUGCUGAAUACUCUAAAAAAAUCCAGAAAGAGAGCUGCUGCCGUGAGAGCCCACCAAUUAAAGGCUGCCUAGUCGGGGCCUCUGAGGGCACUGUCACCAGAGACUCUCCGCAGAGAGGAAGAUGGGACGGAGCAGCCCUCCAGGGGCGUCCCUCCCAUCACGUCUGACACCCUGGGCAUGAUCGUUAAUAAAUGAAGAGGCAAUGGCCGAGGUGGGCCUGGCCAGUCUUGCUUUGACGAGAGUGUGGAAUUAUUUGCUGUACAAAAUGAGCCCUGAUGUUUGGACCUAGCGUUUCCGACUCUAUCCUCGUGUGAAGCUUGUUCAGACCUUCAUUCUGUGUUUCACUUUUCAAACGAUAGUGGAUAAAUCACAGGAGAUACCCAGUGCCUCACCAGCUGGCUAUUGGGCGGGGAAUGUCACCCAACUGCCUGCUAAAAUAAAUACUCUGAGCAUA